Chelonoidis abingdonii (Abingdon island giant tortoise) is the source of this 1107-nucleotide non-coding RNA. Lineage: Eukaryota; Metazoa; Chordata; Testudines; Testudinidae. The record is from RefSeq and is a predicted model, not a curated record.
UUGUCUCUGGGCAAGGACUGACCUGUCUCCCAAGGCCUGUGAGAGUGAGAGAUCAUUUUCCAGGCUAGGUUAUAGAUCCCUGUUGAUGCGCUGGAGGGGUUGUAGCUGGGGGCUGUAUGUGAUGGCCAGUGGAGACCAGUUAUUUUCCUUGUUGGGCCUGUCCUGUAGUAGGUGACUUCUGGGUACUCGUCUCAUUCUAGAAGUAGCUGCAAUUUUCCCUCUCUUGGUAUUGACACCUCCUCAUCAACUAUUGGGAGUGGACCACAUCCACCCUGACUGAACCGGCCCUGUCAACACUGGUUCUCCACUUGUAAGGUAACUCCUUUCUCUCCAUGUCGGCAGCUACAGUGCUUGCAUGGUCUGAGUUUCAGAGCAUUGCAAUUGGUUCAUGUAUGCAAAACUAAAUCCUAAUAUUUUAAAGCACAGUGUCCUUGAUGCACCGAUUUUAUGCUGUCUCAAAAGGAGAAUGUAUUUCCAAGUUAACCUACAGCUCGGCUGUAUGCAAUGUCCGUUAUAUGCCAAUAUUUUGCAGUGGAGUCAAUUCUAAACUACUAUUACACCUCAGCAAGUUCCCAGGAACUCCAGGCAGAAAACGCUGCUGCUGCUUGUGAAACCAGUGUUACUUUACAGCACAAAGGAAGAAGCAGUUACUGCAAAACAUGAACAGGAGCUAAACACUAGUGCAUCUCCUUUGUGCUGCACAUAGGGACAAGACACAUACCUUGUGCAUUCUAGGGGAGACUUUCAAAGGCAAAAGAGAGUUAGGCACCCAACUUCAUUCAAAAUCCCAGGGAAUUGGAUGUGUAACUCCCAUUUGUGCCUUGGGAAACCUUCCCCUGUCCUCUUCUGAGGGCAAUUAUGACGACGCCAACAGGUAAAGCAGCCUCAAGUGUUUAUAAUGAACCUUCUGCUUUUAUUUUCAGGGCAUUGCUAAAUUUAAAUUUGUUUAAGAGAAAAUGAAAGUGUCAUUUUGCAACUUAAAGUGGAUGACAUUACGGAAAAGCCAAUGAAGUCGGAGUAGUGUUAACCUCACAGAAAUACAGUCCAGGUAGCUGCAAUAGGUAGAAUAGCUCAGUCUUACAUAUUGCUGCACAAAUGGAUGGCGGA